Long non-coding RNA from Eriocheir sinensis (Chinese mitten crab), 2244 nucleotides. RefSeq lists it as uncharacterized. Lineage: Eukaryota; Metazoa; Arthropoda; Malacostraca; Decapoda; Varunidae. The record is from RefSeq and is a predicted model, not a curated record. The transcript has 4 exons.
CCUUACAGUUUUACGAUGAUACGAGAGAGAGAAAUAAGGUUACUGUUUCUUAUUACUGGGCCCAACGGUGAACAGGGAAUAUGUACAUCGUUGAGAGACAUAUGAUUCACACCCCUUACAGUUUUGCGAUGAUACGAGAGAGAGAAAUAAGGUUACUGUUUCUUAUUACUGGGCCCAACGGUGAACAGGGAACAUGUACAUCGUUGAGAGACAUACGAUUCCCACCCCUUACAGUUUUACGAUGAUAUGGGAGAGAAAAAUAAAGCUUUGCGGUGAUCCUUCUUCUGUUCUGCUUUGUAUUGCUUCUUGGGUUCUCCUUCUUUUUCCUCUCCUCUCCUCACUUUCGUUAAUCAUCCAUUUUCCUCUUCCUCCUCUUUCCCUUCCUUCACCCAGAGCGGAGGUGUUUUUCCGCUCUCUUCUUCCUCGGACAUUGCUUUUUGACGCACUUUUCUUAUGAUAUCGGAAACAAAAAUUAAGUUAUGCGGUAAAUCUUAAGCACGGAUUCUGGCGCCCUUUUCUUAUGAUAUCGGAAACAGAAAUUAAGUUAUGCGGUAAAUCUUAAGCACGGAUUCCAGCCCCUUUUCUUAUGAUAUCGGAAACAGAAAUUAAGUUAUGCGUUAAAUCUUAAGCACGGAUUCUGGCCCCCUUUUCUUAUGAUAUCGGAAACAGAAAUUAAGUUAUGUGGUAAAUCUUAAGCACGGAUUCCAGCCCCUUUUCUUAUGAUAUCGGAAACAGAAAUUAAGUUAUGUGGUAAAUCUUAAGCACGGAUUCUGGCCCCCUUUUCUUAUGAUAUCGGAAACAGAAAUUAAGUUAUGUGGUAAAUCUUAAGCACGGAUUCUGGCGCAGAGAUCAUACGGGUAAACUGUACAUUGCAACCCGACCGACUGACUGCCUGCCUGCCUGACUUAACCGUAGAUGAGUAACUGUAUAGAGGCACACUAAUACAUUGACGACCUUGGUCCAUCACACCCACAACAUAUCACAUUCAACACUUAGGCCCGCCCUCUGCCCACCUCCAAACACAUCCACUUAGCCAGCGGAUGAAGAGGUGGAUUUACGACACCCCUCCACACCCACACACACCCAUUUAGCUAGCGGAUGAAGAGGUGGAUUUAUGGCACCCCUCCACACACCCACUUAGCUAGGGGACUGAGAGGUGGAAUUGACACCCCUCCACACCCACAUACACACCUCCACUUAGCAAGCGGAUUGAGAGGUGGAGUUAUGACACAUUCCCACUUAGCUAGCGGAUCGAGGGGUGGAAUUAUGACACUCCUCUACACCCACAUACACACCUCCACUUAGCAAGCGGAUCAGGAGGUGGAGUUGUGACACCCAUCCACCCACACACACACACAACCACUUAGCUAGCGGAUCAGGAGGUGGAAUAGCGACACUCCACACCUACACACACACACAUCCACACCCAUGAAUUUAGGGCCAGGUUAGGUUAGGUUAGGUUAGCUGGUCAAACUCUAUCCUUCCACCCAUAUUAGGUUAGGUGGGGUGGUCAAACUAUCCUUACACCCAGACUAGCUUAUGGAUGUGGGUGGGGUAUCCGCACACCCAUUCCUAUACAUUCUGAAACCUUCCCACCCAGUUUUUCUAGUAGGGGGGGGGGGGGGGUGUCAAACUCUAUCCUUACACCCAGGUUAGGUUAGGUUAGGGUGAUUGAGCUCUAUCCUUACACCCAGACUAGCUUAUGGGCGUGGGUGUGGGUGUGGGUGGUUUCUGAACACCCUCAAAGUCAUCCACCCAGUUAUCCGAUGAUGGGUGAGGAGUGGGUGAUCAAACUAUACCCUUGCACCCAGGUUAGGUUAGGUUAGGUGGGUUGGUCAAACUCUAUCCUUACACCCAGACUAGCUUAUGGGUGUGGGUGUGGGUGUGGGUGGUUUCUGAACACCCUCAAAAUCACCCGCCCAGUUAUCCGAUGAUGGGUGAGGAGUGGGUGAUCAAACUAUACCCUUGCACCCAGGUUAGGUUAGGUUAGGUGGGUUGGUCAAACUCUAUCCUUACACCCAGACUAGCUUAUGGGAGUGGGUGUGGGUGUGGGUGGGUGUGGGUGGUUUCUGAACACCCUCAAAAUCACCCACCCAGUUUUCCGAUGAUGGGUGAGGAGUGGGUGAUCAAACUAUACCCUUGCACCCAGGUUAGGUUAGGUUAGGUGGGUUGGUCAAACUCUAUCCUUACACCCAGACUAGCUUAUGGGAGUGGGUGUGGGUGGGUGUGGGUGGUUUCUGAACA